GAACUGCGAUAAGUAAUGUGAAUUGCAGAAUUCAGUGAAUCAUCGAGUCUUUGAACGCACAUUGCGCCCCCUGGCAUUCCGGGGGGCAUGCCUGUCCGAGGGUCAUUGCUGCCCUUCAAGCCCGGCUUGUGUGUUGGGUCGUCGUCCCCUCCGGGGGACGGGCCCGAAAGGCAGCGGCGGCACCGCGUCCGGUCCUCGAGCGUAUGGGGCUUUGUCACCCGCUCGAUAAGGACCGGCCGGGCGCCAGCCGGCGUCUCCAACCUUUUUUUCUCAGGUUGACCUCGGAUCAGGUAGGGAUACCCGCUGAACUUAAGC
RNAcentral lists this unclassified non-coding RNA (315 nucleotides) under plant metagenome. RNAcentral describes it as "partial contains 5.8S ribosomal RNA, internal transcribed spacer 2, and large subunit ribosomal RNA". The stretch from base 1 to 105 matches the Rfam family "5.8S ribosomal RNA", at positions 50 to 154 of the family's 154-position model. The record is from RNAcentral.